GAUGAACGCUGGCGGCGUGCCUAAUACAUGCAAGUCGAGCGAACAGACGAGGAGCUUGCUCCUCUGACGUUAGCGGCGGACGGGUGAGUAACACGUGGAUAACCUACCUAUAAGACUGGGAUAACUUCGGGAAACCGGAGCUAAUACCGGAUAAUAUAUUGAACCGCAUGGUUCAAUAGUGAAAGACGGUUUUGCUGUCACUUAUAGAUGGAUCCGCGCCGCAUUAGCUAGUUGGUAAGGUAACGGCUUACCAAGGCAACGAUGCGUAGCUGACCUGAGAGGGUGAUCGGCCACACUGGAACUGAGACACGGUCCAGACUCCUACGGGAGGCAGCAGUGGGGAAUCUUCCGCAAUGGGCGAAAGCCUGACGGAGCAACGCCGCGUGAGUGAUGAAGGUCUUCGGAUCGUAAAACUCUGUUAUUAGGGAAGAACAAAUGUGUAAGUAACUAUGCACGUCUUGACGGUACCUAAUCAGAAAGCCACGGCUAACUACGUG
This 497-nucleotide ribosomal RNA is filed under the name uncultured bacterium. Its description in RNAcentral is "partial 16S ribosomal RNA". It matches the Rfam family "Bacterial small subunit ribosomal RNA", at positions 28 to 507 of the family's 1533-position model. The record is from RNAcentral.